This 484-nucleotide ribosomal RNA is filed under the name uncultured bacterium. Its description in RNAcentral is "partial 16S ribosomal RNA". It matches the Rfam family "Bacterial small subunit ribosomal RNA", at positions 30 to 507 of the family's 1533-position model. The record is from RNAcentral.
AUUGAACGCUGGCGGCAGGCCUAACACAUGCAAGUCGAGCGGAUGAAGGGAGCUUGCUCCUGGAUUCAGCGGCGGACGGGUGAGUAAUGCCUAGGAAUCUGCCUGGUAGUGGGGGAUAACGUCCGGAAACGGGCGCUAAUACCCCAUACGUCCUGAGGGAGAAAGUGGGGGAUCUUCGGACCUCACGCUAUCAGAUGAGCCUAGGUCGGAUUAGCUAGUUGGUGGGGUAAAGGCCUACCAAGGCGACGAUCCGUAACUGGUCUGAGAGGAUGAUCAGUCACACUGGAACUGAGACACGGUCCAGACUCCUACGGGAGGCAGCAGUGGGGAAUAUUGGACAAUGGGCGAAAGCCUGAUCCAGCCAUGCCGAGUGUGUGAAGAAGGUCUUCGGAUUGUAAAGCACUUUAAGUUGGGAGGAAGGGCAGUAAGUUAAUACCUUGCUGUUUUGACGUUACCAACAGAAUAAGCACCGGCUAACUUCGUG